AGUGAACGCUGGCGGUAGGCCUAACACAUGCAAGUCGAACGGCAGCACAGUAAGAGCUUGCUCUUACGGGUGGCGAGUGGCGGACGGGUGAGGAAUACAUCGGAAUCUACUUUUUCGUGGGGGAUAACGUAGGGAAACUUACGCUAAUACCGCAUACGACCUACGGGUGAAAGCAGGGGAUCUUCGGACCUUGCGCGAUUGAAUGAGCCGAUGUCGGAGUAGCUAGUUGGCGGGGUAAAGGCCCACCAAGGCGACGAUCCGUAGCUGGUCUGAGAGGAUGAUCGGCGACACUGGAACUGAGACACGGUCCAGACUCCUACGGGAGGCAGCAGUGGGGAAUAUUGGGCAAUGGGCGCAAGCCUGAUCCAGCCAUACCGCGUGGGUGAAGAAGGCCUUCGGGUUGUAAAGCCCUUUUGUUGGGAAAGAAAAGCAGCAGGUUAAUACCCCGCUGUUCUGACGGUACCCAAAGAAUAAGCACCGGCUAACUUCGUG
RNAcentral lists this ribosomal RNA (492 nucleotides) under uncultured bacterium. RNAcentral describes it as "partial 16S ribosomal RNA". It matches the Rfam family "Bacterial small subunit ribosomal RNA", at positions 29 to 507 of the family's 1533-position model. The record is from RNAcentral.